CUCAGGGCGAACGCUGGCGGCGUGCCUAAUACAUGCAAGUAGAACGCUGAAGAGAGGAGCUUGCUCUUCUUGGAUGAGUUGCGAACGGGUGAGUAACGCGUAGGUAACCUGCCUUGUAGCGGGGGAUAACUAUUGGAAACGAUAGCUAAUACCGCAUAACAAUGGAUGACACAUGUCAUUUAUUUGAAAGGGGCAAUUGCUCCACUACAAGAUGGACCUGCGUUGUAUUAGCUAGUAGGUGAGGUAACGGCUCACCUAGGCGACGAUACAUAGCCGACCUGAGAGGGUGAUCGGCCACACUGGGACUGAGACACGGCCCAGACUCCUACGGGAGGCAGCAGUAGGGAAUCUUCGGCAAUGGGGGCAACCCUGACCGAGCAACGCCGCGUGAGUGAAGAAGGUUUUCGGAUCGUAAAGCUCUGUUGUAAGUCAAGAACGAGUGUGAGAGUGGAAAGUUCACACUGUGACGGUAGCUUACCAGAAAGGGACGGCUAACUACGUGCCAGCAGCCGCGGUAAUACGUAGGUCCCGAGCGUUGUCCGGAUUUAUUGGGCGUAAAGCGAGCGCAGGCGGUUUGAUAAGUCUGAAGUUAAAGGCUGUGGCUCAACCAUAGUUCGCUUUGGAAACUGUCAAACUUGAGUGCAGAAGGGGAGAGUGGAAUUUCAUGUGUAGCGGUGAAAUGCGUAGAUAUAUGGAGGAACACCGGUGGCGAAAGCGGCUCUCUGGUCUGUAACUGACGCUGAGGCUCGAAAGCGUGGGGAGCGAACAGGAUUAGAUACCCUGGUAGUCCACGCCGUAAACGAUGAGUGCUAGGUGUUGGAUCCUUUCCGGGAUUCAGUGCCGCAGCUAACGCAUUAAGCACUCCGCCUGGGGAGUACGACCGCAAGGUUGAAACUCAAAGGAAUUGACGGGGGCCCGCACAAGCGGUGGAGCAUGUGGUUUAAUUCGAAGCAACGCGAAGAACCUUACCAGGUCUUGACAUCCCGAUGCUAUUUCUAGAGAUAGAAAGUUACUUCGGUACAUCGGUGACAGGUGGUGCAUGGUUGUCGUCAGCUCGUGUCGUGAGAUGUUGGGUUAAGUCCCGCAACGAGCGCAACCCCUAUUGUUAGUUGCCAUCAUUCAGUUGGGCACUCUAGCGAGACUGCCGGUAAUAAACUGGAGGAAGGUGGGGAUGACGUCAAAUCAUCAUGCCCCUUAUGACCUGGGCUACACACGUGCUACAAUGGUUGGUACAACGAGUUGCGAGUCGGUGACGGCAAGCUAAUCUCUUAAAGCCAAUCUCAGUUCGGAUUGUAGGCUGCAACUCGCCUACAUGAAGUCGGAAUCGCUAGUAAUCGCGGAUCAGCACGCCGCGGUGAAUACGUUCCCGGGCCUUGUACACACCGCCCGUCACACCACGAGAGUUUGUAACACCCGAAGUCGGUGAGGUAACCUUUUGGAGCCAGCCGCCUAAGGUGG
RNAcentral lists this ribosomal RNA (1458 nucleotides) under uncultured organism. Its description in RNAcentral is "SSU rRNA". It matches the Rfam family "Bacterial small subunit ribosomal RNA". The record is from RNAcentral.